This 50-nucleotide small nuclear RNA is filed under the name Cervus elaphus hippelaphus. The record is from RNAcentral. Lineage: Eukaryota; Metazoa; Chordata; Mammalia; Artiodactyla; Cervidae.
GUGCUCGCUUGGGCAGCACAUAUACUAAAAUUGAUCAUUCAGAGAAUAUU